This 306-nucleotide ribosomal RNA is filed under the name Triticum aestivum (bread wheat). RNAcentral's name for it is "partial small subunit ribosomal RNA". The record is from RNAcentral. Lineage: Eukaryota; Viridiplantae; Streptophyta; Magnoliopsida; Poales; Poaceae.
AUGGAGGUGGCCGGCAGGGAGGACGAGGACGUGGAGGAGGGCGCUGCCGAUGGCGCCAGAAGCAGCUCGACAAGAACCACCGUCACGCGGAGGCAAGUCGCCAUCGACACGGCCUCUUCGUCUGCGCCAUCAAGGGCCAACAGCUCCAGAUCCGGGAGCAUCUUCCCGGAGGCGGAGCCGGCGACUCCUGAUGCACCUGGUGAUGGCCGGGGUAGCGAUCCAGUCGACCUUCUGGAUGUUGGCUUCCUCACUAUGCUGCAACCACCUCCUCCGCAGGGACGAGUGCUACGAGCCGGCAGUUCCUGA